This is a long non-coding RNA of Physeter macrocephalus (sperm whale), 1393 nucleotides long. The record is from Ensembl. NCBI's taxonomy places the organism in Eukaryota, Metazoa, Chordata, Mammalia, Artiodactyla, Physeteridae.
GUGGGUGUAGAGUUUUCCAACGUUGUUAUCCCCCAGAUUAAGAAAUUUGGAAGACUUGCUAUACGUGGGCCCAUCUCUACAUAUAACAGAACCGGCCCCCUUCCCCCAGAAACCACAUCCCCAUCAGCGUGGACAAUCCCAGAAACAGUAUUUCAUCCUCUUCCAAGAUGAGAAAAUGAGGACUCCACUUCUUAACCCAAGAGAAAUAUGGCUGGGAACUGUUUGGGAAGUUUUUGGUGGACCUUGCUUCUGGCAGGUGAGGGAUGAACAGUUCCUGGCUGCCUGGCCUGUACCAAGGACUCCAGGCCCACCCCGGAGGCCACCAUCUUUAAGGAGCUUCACUUCGAAGGCUUCCCCGUCUACUGCUGGCAAGGAGAAGUCCGCCAGAGGCUCUGAAAGGCUUGCUGACAGGGGUCUCAGAGGGUAAAAUCCAGUACCAUGAACACAUCACUGAAGGAUUUGAAAACAUGCCAGCUGCAUUUAUGGGAAUGCUGAAAGGAGAGAAUCUGGGGAAGCAAUAGUGAAAGCAUGAACAAAAAUGACACAUGGAAUCUAGAAAUCAUUUGGAUGUUUACUUAGUUUCUUUAUAAUCAUUUAGUAAAAGGUAUGCUGUCUUCAUGAUCUAAAAAACAUUAAUUGUAAUGCAUUUGAUCUACCUAAUAAAAUACAUGUAAGUGGAAUAUAAUUAGCAAGAGAGAGCGAAAUUUUCAUAUUGAACAAUGGCCAAGUGAACUUACUGCCUGCUAUAGUUCCCUCAGGGUUAUGGUAGAAAAUAAUGGCUCUCGAGUCCAAAAGUUUACUGCUUCUGUGACCUUGAACUUCUGAUUUUUCAUCUGUAAAGUGAGGACAGUAACAUCUGCUUCACAUACAUAUUAUACAUUUAUUUAAAACACUAGCAUAACAUGUGGCAUAUAUUAGGUACUCAGUGUUAGCUACCUCCCUGCAGAAAUCAGUGAAUUUGAAGUCAAGAUCACCACCCCUAUGGCUUAUGGUUACACAAGGAGAAAUAACCAUUGCUGAUGUACACGGACUCAGGGGAGCCCCCAUUGGUCCUCUGCGGGCAGGUCUAAUGUGGCAGACCAAGGAAGGAAUCUAUCGCUCACAACAGCUACAAAAAAAGAUAACAUAUGGGAAUCUUUAUAAGCCAACAAAAAUGUGAGGGAUUAUUAUGAAGAAAACUUUGAAACAUGACUGAGAAACACAAAAGAAGACUGAACAUAUGGAAGUUACCAUGCUCUUGGACUGGGAGAUUCAGUAUCAUGAAAAUGUCAGUUCUGUUGAUCAAUUCUGCUACCAAAUAGAGGAGGGAUCAAAUUGGAGUGCAAAGAAAAAAUAAGAGAAAAAAGUGUGCGAUUGUGUGUGUGUGUGUGUGUGUGUGUGUGUGUGUGUGUGU